AUGGGGCCCUCACACACACACAUUUCUAGCCUAGGCCUUAUGGGGCCCUCCCCUCAAAUGAAUGAAUUCACAGUUAAGCUCACACACACACAUUUCCAGUCUAGGUCUUAUGGGGCCCUCACACACACACAUUUCCAGUCUAGGUCUUAUGGGGCCCUCACACACAUUUCCAGUCUAGGUCUCAUGGGGCCCUCACACACACACAUUUCCAGUCUAGGUCUUAUGGGGCCCUUACACACACACAUUUCCAGUCUAGGUCUUAUGGGGCCCUCACGUAUGGAUCUCACUCUUAGUGAUUUUACAUCAUUGGAACAACAUCUGUCAAUAUUUAAACUAGUGUAAUUGCUGGUGUAAUUCAACACUGGUCAAGCUGCUGCAUGUUCAGAAUGAGUAUUUUGGAUGUACUGCAUUGCAACAUCUUAUUUGUUGCUCUGACACUUGCUGUUACCUCUAGAAAAGACAAGUGUAUGCUCUUAUAUUUCAGCUGUGCUAGAUGAGAAAUGUUUUCACAUGAGCUAACUUUUGUAACCUUUGGUUUCUGUUGUUUUUUGUCUGAUUUCCAGGAGCCAAAGCAGUUAUUUACCAUCAAAGGGUUUUCCCUAGUGAACUAUACCGAAAGUGAUGAGACGGAUGAGGAGUAUAUUAAAGACAACCCUCCCAGUCCACACUGUGAUGUUGUUCGAAAGAAGACGAGGAAUGGAAACAUUUCAGGUAUGCCUCAGAUACUGUACUUGAAAAUAUUGCUGUUUCUAUAAAUGGUUCAAACGUCCUUCCCCUGUUACUAAUUUUAAUAGAAUGUAAGCCAAAAUGUAUUACAUAUCUUGAAAUUGAAAAGCCUUUUUUGCAGGUGGCUGGAGUAGCUGAUUUUUCUGAUCCUCUGUUUGACUCAUAUGAGAGUAUAGUAGAUGAAACUGAUGAGGAUUCUAGUCUGCAGUCAGACAAUGAAGUUGUUCCAAAAAAAUGUUUGGUAUGUCUCUGUGUACAUUUCUACCAAAAAAAUUCCCCUGUAUAAGAUUUCCAUAGAAUGUGAACAAAAAUGCAUAAUCAUACAUGAUACAAUUCCCUUUUUGCAGAUGGAUAGAGUACCACAUUUUUCUGUUCCUCUUAAUGAGUCAAGUGAUGACAGCAUAGAUGAGCCUUCCACUUCUAUGUCUGGAAUGGCUUCACAAUGGCCGAGGAGAAACUGUCACCGUCCUGUAAGCCUAAUUUUUUCAUACAUUAUACCACUUAGUGGUUAGUGCUAACUAACUCCGUGUGGGUGGCGUCAGAUGUUUAACGAUACACAGCUGAUCAUGUACUUCAAAACAAUUUUACCCCCAAGCGAAAUACAGGGAAAAAAAGCCUUAUAUCGAGUAUAUCGGGGCCUUUACUCUCCUCACGUAAUAAAUGAAAACUUUGUUCAUAUUGGACCUCAAUCUAACAGCUUUGUGUAAAAAAAAAAAUUAUUUUAUUUUAAAUAUUUUUAUAGCCUGUGAUGUGAUUAGAGGAGACAAAUGCGCAUCUCCAGAAACUUGAGCCUUAAAUACAGUUUAUAGUCAAAUCAGAAUCAGAAAGGGCUUUAUUGCCAAGUAUGUUUGCGCAAACAAGGAAUUUGUUUUAGUGACAAGCUUCCAGUACACAGAGACGACAAAAAAAAAAGGCAAAUAAAUAAGUGUAUAAACAAUUGUGCUAUAAAU
This 1676-nucleotide long non-coding RNA is filed under the name Carassius auratus (goldfish). RNAcentral describes it as "lncRNA (ENSCARG00000070412.1)". The record is from RNAcentral. Lineage: Eukaryota; Metazoa; Chordata; Actinopteri; Cypriniformes; Cyprinidae.